RNAcentral lists this long non-coding RNA (633 nucleotides) under Chelonus insularis. Its description in RNAcentral is "uncharacterized LOC118074666, transcript variant X1". Lineage: Eukaryota; Metazoa; Arthropoda; Insecta; Hymenoptera; Braconidae. The record is from RNAcentral.
UCGGAGAACUCCGAAUGGUGUACAGGACAGGGAUGCAGAGAUGAGGCAAUAAUUAGCAAGGAACAAUUGAGUGUUUGUUCCUCUGCAGCAGCUGUGAGAUCUUAUCGUGUGGAAAAGCGAGAUAAUAGUUAUACAACAUAGAGAGUAAGAGAAGUCGAUACGCACAGCGUCACACCCGACUAACGUCUGGAUAGAAUCUCGAUGUGUUUGAAAGGAUAUCUAAGCAUUCUCUAGGUCUUGAUAGAAAGCUAAACGGGUCUUGAGAAUGAUCUGCCAUCGUAUACUUGAGUCAAGGUCUGACGAUCCAACUACUGCUGCUUUACACAUCGACGCUUGUGUUCAACAGUACAAAAUACGGAAUCUGGGCUUACAUAGCUUAGUGAGAACGUGAUUGAGAAGCAACGAAUUAUCACACAUCAUGCUAAUGAUAAUAUCAAUCAUGUAAAACUAAAGAAGGAUUGAAAUACACAAGGGAAGUAACUUUAAUUUGAUUGAAUAUAUUCCUCCCAAGUUAAGUCUUUAUGUUUGAUUAAAUUGAAUUCAAUUCAAAUUCAACGCCUAGAAAUGAAUAGAAACCUCAGGGCUUUAGAAAUUCAUGUACAAUAUGUAAACUGGAUGUAAAAUUACCUUGAG